GAUGAACGCUGGCGGCGUGCCUAAUACAUGCAAGUCGAGCGAAUGGAUUAAGAGCUUGCUCUUAUGAAGUUAGCGGCGGACGGGUGAGUAACACGUGGGUAACCUGCCCAUAAGACUGGGAUAACUCCGGGAAACCGGGGCUAAUACCGGAUAACAUUUUGAACCGCAUGGUUCGAAAUUGAAAGGCGGCUUCGGCUGGUACUUUUGGAUGGACCCGCGUCGCAUUAGCUAGUUGGUGAGGUAACGGCUCACCAAGGCAACGAUGCGUAGCCGACCUGAGAGGGUGAUCGGCCACACUGGGACUGAGACACGGCCCAGACUCCUACGGGAGGCAGCAGUAGGGAAUCUUCCGCAAUGGACGAAAGUCUGACGGAGCAACGCCGCGUGAGUGAUGAAGGCUUUCGGGUCGUAAAACUCUGUUGUUAGGGAAGAACAAGUGCUAGUUGAAUAAGCUGGCACCUUGACGGUACCUAACCAGAAAGCCACGGCUAACUACGUGCCAGCAGCCGCCGUAA
RNAcentral lists this ribosomal RNA (515 nucleotides) under uncultured bacterium. RNAcentral describes it as "partial 16S ribosomal RNA". It matches the Rfam family "Bacterial small subunit ribosomal RNA", at positions 28 to 523 of the family's 1533-position model. The record is from RNAcentral.